This 196-nucleotide ribosomal RNA is filed under the name Robertmurraya kyonggiensis. RNAcentral describes it as "Bacillus kyonggiensis partial 16S ribosomal RNA". It matches the Rfam family "Bacterial small subunit ribosomal RNA", at positions 1 to 186 of the family's 1533-position model. The record is from RNAcentral. Lineage: Bacteria; Bacillati; Bacillota; Bacilli; Caryophanales; Bacillaceae.
UUUAUUGGAGAGUUUGAUCCUGGCUCAGGACGAACGCUGGCGGCGUGCCUAAUACAUGCAAGUCGAGCGCUUGCGUAUUGAAAGCUUGCUUUCAAUAUGCUUGAGCGGCGGACGGGUGAGUAACACGUGGGCAACCUGCCUGUAAGACUGGGAUAACUUCGGGAAACCGGAGCUAAUACCGGAUAAUGCUUUUGAA